Long non-coding RNA from Strigops habroptila (Kakapo), 479 nucleotides. RefSeq lists it as uncharacterized. NCBI's taxonomy places the organism in Eukaryota, Metazoa, Chordata, Aves, Psittaciformes, Psittacidae. The transcript has 3 exons. The record is from RefSeq and is a predicted model, not a curated record.
UUUGUUUCUGAUUCUCAACAGAAAAAUUUCAGAUGCUGAAGGAAUUUGCAUUGUUUUCAGAUUUUCCUCUCUACGCGCUGAUAAGAUUAUCAUCUCCUGCUGAGAUGCCAACCUCACACUCACCCAGCAAAGCUGGGAUGACAGGAUGACUCAUCUUCUGCUGACUUACAUGAGCAAGUCUGCAGAAACAGAGUUUGUGCUGUUCCGAAAAUGGGAAAACUGAAUGUUGCUACGUUGCCAUCUGAUAGCAGUUCUGGCUGCUGAGGUGCCAGACUGACAGAUGCAGAAGCUGGAGCUGUUUCGUUAUCCGGAGAACUGACACUGGAAGGAAGCAGUAGCAUCCUCUCCAGGCUGUUCUAGUACAACACUUCACCCUGAUGGACUCCCUGAAUAUCUGAGCAUACCUCCUGCUCUCCAGCCUUUUCCCAGCUACUCUGCUUGGCAUGUUAAAUUCAUAAAGGCUGCUAACAAAGAUGUCA